AUGGGUCUAAUUGCGGGGAGUUUAUUUACUGGGGUUAUUUUAACCUCCAUAAAAUUACAUGAAAUGCGAGCAUUAAAAAUCUAUUGCCAAAAUUUAUAAAUUUAUGGGGUUUUAACCCUCUUUAUCCAUAAAAAAAAAUAGCGGUAAGUAUUGGCAUAAAAAAACACUUUCCCUCUUUUUUUAAUUGGCCAAUAAUUUUCCCCCAAAAUAUUUUUUCUCUGAUUUUCUCCAAAACCCCCAAAUCGAUUGACAACUUUUACCAAAAUCUUAUUCAUUUCAGCGGGAGUGCAUUUGCUAGAAGAUCUCAACCACAAGUUCGAUCUGGGGCUUAGUCCCGCAGUCCUACUAAGCAGUAGAUCAUUACCAGAUGUUUGAAGUUGGUGAGCCUCCCUUAUUUCAGAAGGCCUUAUUUCAUAUGAUACUUUCAUUGGGGUUUUAGUUUAUGGUCCGACCGAGGGAUUUGUCCCUGUUUCAUACAGAUGUUGUUUUUUGUUUAUUAGAGAUUUUGCAGACUUAUGUUAGAUAGUUUUGGGUCUUUAUGAAUUCAUAACCAUAUCGUUUAGUUGAAAUAAUAAGAUGACCAUGAUUCCAGUUUACUUUCGUAUUUUGAAUUUUUGGUGAAUUAUGCUUAUAAUUGCAAGUUAUGAGGGCUCUCAGGCCUUGAAGGUUCAGGAUGCCUUUUUGUCCAGAGCCUCAGUUCGGGGCAUGACACGAACCUAAACAUCAAAUAUCAAACCUACGACGUCGACCACAAUUUCCAUUUUGUCUCAAACCCAAUUAUUUUUCUAAGGCGUUUUGGUGAUGGGCUUGACUAGUCGUUGUUGUUUCUGGUAAGAAUCGACAUGAACCAGAUUUAUUCUUCUUUUUUGACAGAGAUGAGUCAUUUUCUGGUGGAAUUAGCACUAAAGGAUCAAUUUUGGUAUGUGAUGAUUGCUAAUAGUGUUUUAGGUGGGUUUGGUCACUGGUUUUGCUGCCUGUGGAGUUCAUCGGUGACUGUUGUCGCAUAUCGAAGGAUUUGGCCAUAUUUCUACUAUUUCUGCAUAGUGACUAGGAUUCAGGAGCAGUUCGUGAGUUGAACUGAAGUGUUGAGCUUCCAUACAUAGAAAGUGUACAUUUCAUGUUUGGUCUCUUAUGUCUCAGACUUAUUUUUUGCUAUAGUCAGGGGCAUGUCCCGACACUUUAUUGGUAUUCGAUUUUGCUAUAUGCUUUGUUGGAUACUGUGGACAUGGGUAUGGUGGUUGUCUUUUGGUAUUAGUUUUGAUACUAUGGAAGUUUCGGAUAUUGAUUUUAUAUAGAAUUUUGAGUUUAUCAUUCA
Capsicum annuum is the source of this 1315-nucleotide long non-coding RNA. RefSeq lists it as uncharacterized. NCBI's taxonomy places the organism in Eukaryota, Viridiplantae, Streptophyta, Magnoliopsida, Solanales, Solanaceae. The transcript has 3 exons. The record is from RefSeq and is a predicted model, not a curated record.